RNAcentral lists this unclassified non-coding RNA (137 nucleotides) under uncultured Russula. RNAcentral describes it as "sequence contains ITS1". The record is from RNAcentral. Lineage: Eukaryota; Fungi; Basidiomycota; Agaricomycetes; Russulales; Russulaceae.
CAGAGUUCAUGCCCUUUGUGCAUUGCCGCGUGGGUCCCCCUUUUGGCUUGUUCCGAGUGGGACCUGCGUUUUUACAUAGACACCCUUUGAAUGCAUGUGUAGAACGUCUUACUUUUUGCGAUCACACGCAAUCAAUA